RNAcentral lists this ribosomal RNA (420 nucleotides) under Enterococcus casseliflavus. Its description in RNAcentral is "bacterial SSU rRNA". It matches the Rfam family "Bacterial small subunit ribosomal RNA", at positions 38 to 437 of the family's 1533-position model. The record is from RNAcentral. Lineage: Bacteria; Bacillati; Bacillota; Bacilli; Lactobacillales; Enterococcaceae.
GGCGGCGUGCCUAAUACAUGCAAGUCGAACGCUUUUUCUUUCACCGGAGCUUGCUACACCGAAAGAAAAAGAGUGGCGAACGGGUGAGUAACACGUGGGUAACCUGCCCAUCAGAAGGGGAUAACACUUGGAAACAGGUGCUAAUACCGUAUAACACUAUUUUCCGCAUGGAAGAAAGUUGAAAGGCGCUUUUGCGUCACUGAUGGAUGGACCCGCGGUGCAUUAGCUAGUUGGUGAGGUAACGGCUCACCAAGGCAACGAUGCAUAGCCGACCUGAGAGGGUGAUCGGCCACACUGGGACUGAGACACGGCCCAGACUCCUACGGGAGGCAGCAGUAGGGAAUCUUCGGCAAUGGACGAAAGUCUGACCGAGCAACGCCGCGUGAGUGAAGAAGGUUUUCGGAUCGUAAAAACUCUGUU